Molecule: ribosomal RNA, 409 nt
Filed under: uncultured Planctomycetaceae bacterium
Lineage: Bacteria; Pseudomonadati; Planctomycetota; Planctomycetia; Planctomycetales; Planctomycetaceae
Description: partial 16S ribosomal RNA
Rfam family: Bacterial small subunit ribosomal RNA
Source: RNAcentral
UCGAGGAUCUUCGGCAAUGGGCGCAAGCCUGACCGAGCGACGCCGCGUGAGCGAUGAAGGCCUUCGGGUCGUAAAGCUCUGUCGAGGGGGAGAAAAGGGCAACCUUGAUCGACCCCUGGAGGAAGCACGGGCUAAGUUCGUGCCAGCAGCCGCGGUAAGACGAACCGUGCGAACGUUAUUCGGAAUCACUGGGCUUAAAGGGCGCGUAGGCGGGCCGGAAAGUCAGGGGUGAAAUCCUCCAGCCCAACUGGAGAAGCGCCUUUGAUACUGUCGGCCUCGAGGGGUGCAGGGGCAUGCGGAACUCAGGGUGGAGCGGUGAAAUGCGUAGAUAUCCUGAGGAACACCGGUGGCGAAAGCGGCGUGCUGGACACCUUCUGACGCUGAGGCGCGAAAGCCAGGGGAGCGAACG